GCAAGUAUCUUCAAAAUUAACCUGUGAAAGCAAUGAGGAUCCCACUUUAAGAAGAGCAAAAGGCUAGAAACAAUUUACAUUCUAACAUGCAGACUCCAAGACUUGGUGAUAGAAAUUGAUUGCAAGCAAUAUAAUGGUUCACAUACAUAUGGAGAAGUGAAAGAGAUUUGUUCAUACUGGGGUAUUCCUUUUUUAUUCAGAUAUGCACACAUCAAACUAGAAACAAACAAACAUAUGUACAACAUCAUAUUAUUUCUCCUUGCAACAACAACAACAAAGCCUUAGUCCCAAACUAUUCGGGGUUAGCUAUAUGGAUCAUUUUCCACCAUCAAUACUCAAAAAAAUGUAAAUCUUUUGAUACUACUUCCAUCCACAUCAUCUUAGGCCUCCCUCCUUCCCCUACUAACCUAUCACCCUUU
This 419-nucleotide unclassified non-coding RNA is filed under the name Hevea brasiliensis (rubber tree). The record is from RNAcentral. Lineage: Eukaryota; Viridiplantae; Streptophyta; Magnoliopsida; Malpighiales; Euphorbiaceae.